Molecule: transfer RNA, 73 nt
Filed under: Ovis aries (sheep)
Lineage: Eukaryota; Metazoa; Chordata; Mammalia; Artiodactyla; Bovidae
Rfam family: tRNA
About the family: Transfer RNA (tRNA) molecules are approximately 80 nucleotides in length.
Source: Rfam by way of RNAcentral
UCCCUGAUGGUCCAGUGGCUAAGACACCAUGUUUCCAAUGCAGGGAGCCCAGGUUCAAUCCCUGGUCAGGGAA